RNAcentral lists this ribosomal RNA (801 nucleotides) under uncultured bacterium. Its description in RNAcentral is "bacterial SSU rRNA". It matches the Rfam family "Bacterial small subunit ribosomal RNA", at positions 68 to 866 of the family's 1533-position model. The record is from RNAcentral.
GGCAGCACAGGUAGCAAUACCGGGUGGCGACCGGCGCACGGGUGAGUAACGCGUAUGCAACUUGCCUAUCAGAGGGGGAUAACCCGGCGAAAGUCGGACUAAUACCGCAUGAAGCAGGGGCCCCGCAUGGGGAUAUUUGCUAAAGAUUCAUCGCUGAUAGAUAGGCAUGCGUUCCAUUAGGCAGUUGGCGGGGUAACGGCCCACCAAACCGACGAUGGAUAGGGGUUCUGAGAGGAAGGUCCCCCACAUUGGUACUGAGACACGGACCAAACUCCUACGGGAGGCAGCAGUGAGGAAUAUUGGUCAAUGGGCGUAAGCCUGAACCAGCCAAGUCGCGUGAGGGAUGAAGGUUCUAUGGAUCGUAAACCUCUUUUAUAAGGGAAUAAAGUGCGGGACGUGUCCCGUUUUGUAUGUACCUUAUGAAUAAGGAUCGGCUAACUCCGUGCCAGCAGCCGCGGUAAUACGGAGGAUCCGAGCGUUAUCCGGACUUAUUGGGUUUAAAGGGUGCGUAGGCGGCCUUUUAAGUCAGCGGUGAAAGUCUGUGGCUCAACCAUAGAAUUGCCGUUGAAACUGGGGGGCUUGAGUAUGUUUGAGGCAGGCGGAAUGCGUGGUGUAGCGGUGAAAUGCUUAGAUAUCACGCAGAACCCCGAUUGCGAAGGCAGCCUGCCAAGCCAUGACUGACGCUGAUGCACGAAAGCGUGGGGAUCAAACAGGAUUAGAUACCCUGGUAGUCCACGCAGUAAACGAUGAUCACUAGCUGUUUGCGAUACACAGUAAGCGGCACAGCGAAAGCGUUAAGUG